GUGUGGUAGGGGCAGAGGGAAUUCCCGGUGUAGCGGUGAAAUGCGUAGAUAUCGGGAAGAACACCAGUGGCGAAGGCGCUCUGCUGGGCCAUAACUGACGCUCAUGGACGUAAGCCAGGGAGCGAAAGGGAUUAGAUACCCCUGUAGUCCUGGCCGUAAACGAUGAACACUAGGUGUCGGGGGAAUCGACCCCCUCGGUGUCGUAGCCAACGCGUUAAGUGUUCCGCCUGGGGAGUAGGCACGCAAGUGUGAAACUCAAAGGAAUUGACGGGGGCCCGCACAAGCGGUGGUGUAUGUGGUUUAAUUCGAUGCAACGCGAAGAACCUUACCAGGGUUUGACAUCCUGCUAAUCUCUUGGAAACGAGAGAGUGCCUUCGGGAACGCAGUGACAGGUGGUGCAUGGCUGUCGUCAGCUCAUGUCGUGAGAUGUUGUGUUAAGUUCAGCAACGAGCGCAACCCAAGUCGUUAGUUGCCAGCAUUUAGUUGGGCACUCUAGCGAGACCGCCGGUGAUAAACCUGAGGAAGGUGUGGAUGACGUCAAGUCAUCAUGCCCCAUACAUCCUGGGCUACACACGUACUACAAUGCUACGGACAAAGGGCAGCAAGCUCGCGAGAAUUAGCAAAUCCCAUAAGCAGUGACUCAGUUCAGAUCGUAGGCUGCAACUCGUCUACGUGAAGGAGGAAUCGCUAGUAAUCGCAGGUCAGCAUACUGUGGUGAAUACGUUCCCGGGCCUUGUACACACCGCCCGUCACAACAUGGAAGUUGGCCACGCCCGAAGCCGUUACUCCAACCCUUGUGGAGGAGGACGUCGAAGGUGGGGCUGAUGACUGGGGUGAAGUCGUAACAAGGUAGCCGUACCGGAAGGUGCGGCUGGAUCACCUCCUAA
This 887-nucleotide ribosomal RNA is filed under the name uncultured Synechococcus sp. Its description in RNAcentral is "bacterial SSU rRNA". It matches the Rfam family "Bacterial small subunit ribosomal RNA", at positions 646 to 1533 of the family's 1533-position model. Lineage: Bacteria; Bacillati; Cyanobacteriota; Cyanophyceae; Synechococcales; Synechococcaceae. The record is from RNAcentral.